This 377-nucleotide ribosomal RNA is filed under the name uncultured bacterium. RNAcentral's name for it is "bacterial SSU rRNA". It matches the Rfam family "Bacterial small subunit ribosomal RNA", at positions 521 to 898 of the family's 1533-position model. The record is from RNAcentral.
UAAUACGUAGGGUGCGAGCGUUAAUCGGAAUUACUGGGCGUAAAGCGUGCGCAGGCGGUUUUGUAAGACAGGCGUGAAAUCCCCGGGCUCAACCUGGGAAUUGCGCUUGUGACUGCAAGGCUAGAGUGCGUCAGAGGGGGGUAGAAUUCCACGUGUAGCAGUGAAAUGCGUAGAGAUGUGGAGGAAUACCGAUGGCGAAGGCAGCCCCCUGGGACGUGACUGACGCUCAUGCACGAAAGCGUGGGGAGCAAACAGGAUUAGAUACCCUGGUAGUCCACGCCCUAAACGAUGUCAACUAGUUGUUGGGGAUUCAUUUCUUCAGUAACGUAGCUAACGCGUGAAGUUGACCGCCUGGGGAGUACGGUCGCAAGAUUAAA